This 247-nucleotide ribosomal RNA is filed under the name uncultured bacterium. Its description in RNAcentral is "partial 16S ribosomal RNA". It matches the Rfam family "Bacterial small subunit ribosomal RNA", at positions 523 to 769 of the family's 1533-position model. The record is from RNAcentral.
AUACGAAGGGGGCUAGCGUUGUUCGGAAUCACUGGGCGUAAAGCGCACGUAGGCGGACCGUUAAGUCGGAGGUGAAAGCCUGGGGCUCAACCCCAGAACUGCCUUCGAUACUGGCGGUCUUGAGUAUGGUAGAGGUUGGUGGAACUCCGAGUGUAGAGGUGAAAUUCGUAGAUAUUCGGAAGAACACCAGUGGCGAAGGCGGCCAACUGGACCAUUACUGACGCUGAGGUGCGAAAGCGUGGGGAGC